UGCAAGUCGAACGAGUUCUGAUUAUUGAAAGAUGCUUGCAUCUUGAUUUAAUUUUGAACGAGUGGCGGACGGGUGAGUAACACGUGGGUAACCUGCCCUUAAGUGGGGGAUAACAUUUGGAAACAGAUGCUAAUACCGCAUAAAUCCAAGAACCGCAUGGUUCUUGGCUGAAAGAUGGCGUAAGCUAUCGCUUUUGGAUGGACCCGCGGCGUAUUAGCUAGUUGGUGAGGUAACGGCUCACCAAGGCAAUGAUACGUAGCCGAACUGAGAGGUUGAUCGGCCACAUUGGGACUGAGACACGGCCCAAACUCCUACGGGAGGCAGCAGUAGGGAAUCUUCCACAAUGGACGCAAGUCUGAUGGAGCAACGCCGCGUGAGUGAAGAAGGCUUUCGGGUCGUAAAACUCUGUUGUUGGAGAAGAAUGGUCGGCAGAGUAACUGUUGUCGGCGUGACGGUAUCCAACCAGAAAGCCACGGCUAACUACGUGCCAGCAGCCGCGGUAAUACGUAGGUGGCAAGCGUUAUCCGGAUUUAUUGGGCGUAAAGCGAGCGCAGGCGGUUUUUUAAGUCUGAUGUGAAAGCCCUCGGCUUAACCGAGGAAGUGCAUCGGAAACUGGGAAACUUGAGUGCAGAAGAGGACAGUGGAACUCCAUGUGUAGCGGUGAAAUGCGUAGAUAUAUGGAAGAACACCAGUGGCGAAGGCGGCUGUCUGGUCUGUAACUGACGCUGAGGCUCGAAAGCAUGGGUAGCGAACAGGAUUAGAUACCCUGGUAGUCCAUGCCGUAAACGAUGAAUGCUAGGUGUUGGAGGGUUUCCGCCCUUCAGUGCCGCAGCUAACGCAUUAAGCAUUCCGCCUGGGGAGUACGACCGCAAGGUUGAAACUCAAAGGAAUUGACGGGGGCCCGCACAAGCGGUGGAGCAUGUGGUUUAAUUCGAAGCAACGCGAAGAACCUUACCAGGUCUUGACAUCUUUUGAUCACCUGAGAGAUCAGGUUUCCCCUUCGGGGGCAAAAUGACAGGUGGUGCAUGGUUGUCGUCAGCUCGUGUCGUGAGAUGUUGGGUUAAGUCCCGCAACGAGCGCAACCCUUAUGACUAGUUGCCAGCAUUUAGUUGGGCACUCUAGUAAGACUGCCGGUGACAAACCGGAGGAAGGUGGGGAUGACGUCAAAUCAUCAUGCCCCUUAUGACCUGGGCUACACACGUGCUACAAUGGAUGGUACAACGAGUUGCGAGACCGCGAGGUCAAGCUAAUCUCUUAAAGCCAUUCUCAGUUCGGACUGUAGGCUGCAACUCGCCUACACGAAGUCGGAAUCGCUAGUAAUCGCGGAUCAGCACGCCGCGGUGAAUACGUUCCCGGGCCUUGUACACACCGCCCGUCACACCAUGAGAGUUUGUAACACCCGAAGCCGGUGGCGUAACCCUUUUAGGGAGCGAGCCGUCUA
RNAcentral lists this ribosomal RNA (1441 nucleotides) under Lacticaseibacillus rhamnosus. RNAcentral describes it as "bacterial SSU rRNA". It matches the Rfam family "Bacterial small subunit ribosomal RNA". Lineage: Bacteria; Bacillati; Bacillota; Bacilli; Lactobacillales; Lactobacillaceae. The record is from RNAcentral.